Herpailurus yagouaroundi (jaguarundi) is the source of this 1192-nucleotide long non-coding RNA. RefSeq lists it as uncharacterized. NCBI's taxonomy places the organism in Eukaryota, Metazoa, Chordata, Mammalia, Carnivora, Felidae. The record is from RefSeq and is a predicted model, not a curated record. The transcript has 2 exons.
UCUCUAGCAAUCAGCCCGGGCAGCCAAACUAUCAAUCAUCCCCAAACAGUCAGGCCUUGAUUAAUAACUGACAGUAUCCCUAAGUUUUGUCCCCACUUCCAAUUUAGGAUCAGAUAAAGCCAAAUAUGCUCCCCUAACCAAUCACAUAGGAUGCCCUCUUCUACUUAGCCACCUCCAGUUUCCCUGCAAUCAGGGCAUACCCAAAGCCUUCCUUUUUUCCACUCUAAAGCUUUAUCACUCCACUGCCUUUGAAUCACAGUCAAAAUGCAAGGGAUAGUAGCUGACCACCUUGCCAUAGCAUGCUUAUUCUCAUUUGGUUGGUCUUCACUUUUUCCACAAAUUCUUUAUAUCUAAUAUCCAGUCCAAAUUCAAAUCUUUGUAAGUGUCCCAUAGAUUUAUUUUGUGUCUAGUUUGUUUGAUUCAAACGGGAACCCUUCAAGCCAGGCCUGGGUCCUUACAACUUGAUGGUAGUAGUCUUUGGAACUUUCUUGCUCUCUGGCAGACAAGUUGUUCCAGGCUUGCUCUAUGCUUUGUCAUGAACCAGCCAUUUCUCCAAAGAGCCCUGGCUUUUUCAGUUUCCUGCAGUCUUUUGGAGUCACCUACAAACUAGGGCUUGUGAAAGAGCCUGUGGAACCUCAGGCCAGUUUCAUUGGUAUCCUCAGCUUCUUGCUGAUGGUUCCGCUCAGAGUGGAGCUCUCUUCUUGGAGGACGGUAUUAUUUGGUGGCAUUUUCUGUGUUCUGGGUUCCAGAACUCUCACGACCUUGGAACAGCUGCUGAAGCCUGAUGGUGAUUCGACCCACCUCUUCUAGGAUCCGUGGGGAUCCCCUGAUCUUGGUUUUGUUGAAGAUACUGUCCAACGGGAUGUUUCUCCUGCUAUCCUAGUGACUCAGUCCAUUUUUGGCUCUCCAGCUGAGGCCUACAGACUGAUGUGCUCCCUGGCCUGUGCUCCUCCAGGUCCCAAGACCACAAUAAGCAGAAGAUGCAGACCCCAGAUGAAGACCUCUCAAGCUUCUUCCCAGAGCAUCUGGCCCUGGCCACAUGGAGGACUUAGCUGGGCCUCAAUGGCCUCAGGGGGCCAUACCAUAACUGCCCUUCUCUGGGGUCAGGGAUGGAAUCAGCUAAGGAGAGAUGGCAAAAGGGUACUGGAUAGGGGUGGGGCAAGACUAAAGUAAGAUUGAAAAAAAAAAAAAA